Molecule: ribosomal RNA, 506 nt
Filed under: uncultured bacterium
Lineage: Bacteria
Description: partial 16S ribosomal RNA
Rfam family: Bacterial small subunit ribosomal RNA
Source: RNAcentral
AGUGAACGCUGGCGGUAGGCCUAACACAUGCAAGUCGAACGGCAGCACAGAGGAGCUUGCUCCUUGGGUGGCGAGUGGCGGACGGGUGAGGAAUACAUCGGAAUCUACUCUGUCGUGGGGGAUAACGUAGGGAAACUUACGCUAAUACCGCAUACGACCUACGGGUGAAAGCAGGGGACCUUCGGGCCUUGCGCGAUUGAAUGAGCCGAUGUAGGAUUAGCUAGUGGGCGGGGUAAAGGCCCACCAAGGCGACGAUCCGUAGCUGGUCUGAGAGGAUGAUCAGCCACACUGGAACUGAGACACGGUCCAGACUCCUACGGGAGGCAGCAGUGGGGAAUAUUGGACAAUGGGCGCAAGCCUGAUCCAGCCAUACCGCGUGGGUGAAGAAGGCCUUCGGGUUGUAAAGCCCUUUUGUUGGGAAAGAAAUCCAGCUGGCUAAUACCCGGUUGGGAUGACGGUACCCAAAGAAUAAGCACCGGCUAACUUCGUGCCAGCCGCCGCGGUAA